AGCGGCAAGAGCUCAAAUUUGAAAUCUGGCCCCCUCGGGGUCCGAGUUGUAAUUUGGAGAGGAUGCUUCGGGUACGGCCCCCGUCUAAGUGCCCUGGAACGGGCCGUCAUAGAGGGUGAGAAUCCCGUCUGGGACGGGUGGCCGGGCCCGUGUGAAGCUCCUUCGACGAGUCGAGUUGUUUGGGAAUGCAGCUCUAAAUGGGUGGUAAAUUUCAUCUAAAGCUAAAUAUUGGCCGGAGACCGAUAGCGAACAAGUAGAGUGAUCGAAAGAUGAAAAGCACUUUGAAAAGAGAGUUAAACAGCACGUGAAAUUGUUGAAAGGGAAGCGCUUGCGACCAGACUCGCCCGGGGAGGCUCAGCCGGCACUCGUGCCGGUGCAUUCCCCCCCGGGCGGGCCAGCGUCGGUUCGGGCGGCCGGUCAAAGGCCCCUGGAAGGUGUCGCCCUCCGGGGCGUCUUAUAGCCAGGGGUGCCAUGCGGCCAGCCCGGACCGAGGAACGCGCUUCGGCUCGGACGCUGGCGUAAUGGUCGUAAGCGACCCGUCUUGAAACACGGACCAAGGAG
Molecule: ribosomal RNA, 561 nt
Filed under: Rasamsonia composticola
Lineage: Eukaryota; Fungi; Ascomycota; Eurotiomycetes; Eurotiales; Trichocomaceae
Description: eukaryotic LSU rRNA
Rfam family: Eukaryotic large subunit ribosomal RNA
Source: RNAcentral